GGGAGGUAGUGACAAUAAAUAACAAUACAGGGUUCUUUUGGAUCUUGCAAUUGGAAUGAGUACAAUUUAAAUCUCUUAACGAGGAACAAUUGGAGGGCAAGUCUGGUGCCAGCAGCCGCGGUAAUUCCAGCUCCAAUAGCGUAUAUUAAAGUUGUUGCAGUUAAAAAGCUCGUAGUUGAAUUUCGGGAUCAAUAUAUCGGUCGUGCCUCUGGUUCGUACUGGUAUCAUUGAUUUCUCCUUUCUGACGAACCAUGAUGUCAUUAAUUUGGUGUUAUGGGGAGUUAGGACUGUUACUUUGAAAAAUUAGAGUGUUUAAAGCAGGCAUUAGCUUGAAUACAUUAGCAUGGAAUAAUGAAAUAGGACGUUUGACCCUAUUUUGUUGGUUUCUAGGAUCGACGUAAUGAUUAAUAGGGAUAGUUGGG
This 422-nucleotide ribosomal RNA is filed under the name uncultured Glomeraceae. Its description in RNAcentral is "SSU rRNA". It matches the Rfam family "Eukaryotic small subunit ribosomal RNA", at positions 459 to 886 of the family's 1831-position model. The record is from RNAcentral. Lineage: Eukaryota; Fungi; Glomeromycota; Glomeromycetes; Glomerales; Glomeraceae.